This 453-nucleotide ribosomal RNA is filed under the name uncultured bacterium. RNAcentral's name for it is "bacterial SSU rRNA". It matches the Rfam family "Bacterial small subunit ribosomal RNA", at positions 341 to 786 of the family's 1533-position model. The record is from RNAcentral.
UAGGGAGGCAGCAGUGGGGAAUAUUGCACAAUGGGCGCAAGCCUGAUGCAGCCAUGCCGCGUGUAUGAAAAAGGCCUUCGGGUUGUAAAGUACUUUCAGUCGUGAGGAAGGUGUUAAGGUUAAUAACCUUAGCAAUUGACGUUAGCGACAGAAGAAGCACCGGCUAACUCCGUGCCAGCAGCCGCGGUAAUACGGAGGGUGCGAGCGUUAAUCGGAAUUACUGGGCGUAAAGGGCACGCAGGCGGUUAAUUAAGUUGGAUGUGAAAUCCCCGGGCUUAACCUGGGAAUGGCAUUCAAGACUGGUUAGCUAGAGUCUUGUAGAGGGGGUAGAAUUCCAUGUGUAGCGGUGAAAUGCGUAGAGAUGUGGAGGAAUACCGGUGGCGAAGGCGGCCCCUGGGACAAAGACUGACGCUCAUGUGCGAAAGCGUGGGGAGCAAACAGGGAUUAGAUACC